This 427-nucleotide ribosomal RNA is filed under the name uncultured bacterium. RNAcentral's name for it is "partial 16S ribosomal RNA". It matches the Rfam family "Bacterial small subunit ribosomal RNA", at positions 355 to 774 of the family's 1533-position model. The record is from RNAcentral.
UGGGGAAUAUUGCACAAUGGGCGCAAGCCUGAUGCAGCCAUGCCGCGUGUAUGGAGAAGGCCUUCGGGUUGUAAAGUACUUUCAGCGGGGAGGAAGGGAGUAAAGUUAAUACCUUUGCUCAUUGACGUUACCCGCAGAAGAAGCACCGGCUAACUCCGUGCCAGCAGCCGCGGUAAUACGGAGGGUGCAAGCGUUAAUCGGAAUUACUGGGCGUAAAGCGCACGCAGGCGGUUUGUUAAGUCAGAUGUGAAAUCCCCGGGCUCAACCUGGGAACUGCAUCUGAUACUGGCAAGCUUGAGUCUCGUAGAGGGGGGUAGAAUUCCAGGUGUAGCGGUGAAAUGCGUAGAGAUCUGGAGGAAUACCGGUGGCGAAGGCGGCCCCCUGGACGAAGACUGACGCUCAGGUGCGAAAGCGUGGGGAGCAAACA